Molecule: long non-coding RNA, 261 nt
Organism: Lagopus muta (rock ptarmigan)
Lineage: Eukaryota; Metazoa; Chordata; Aves; Galliformes; Phasianidae
Exons: 3
Source: RefSeq, a predicted model, not a curated record
AGGUAUAGGAGCAGGAAUAGGAGCAGGAAUAGGAGCAGGUAUAGGAGCAGGUAUAGGUGCAGGUAUAGGAGCAGGUAUAGGAGCAGGAAUAGGAGCAGGUAUAGGAGCAGGAAUAGGAGCAGGAAUAGGAGCAGGAAUAGGUGCAGGUAUAGGUGCAGGUAUAGGAGCAGGUAUAGGAGCAGGUAUAGGAGCAGGAAUAGGAGCAGGUAUAGGUGUAGGUAUAGGUGUAGGUAUAGGAGCAGGUAUAGAUGCAGGUAUAGG